RNAcentral lists this ribosomal RNA (254 nucleotides) under uncultured bacterium. RNAcentral describes it as "partial 16S ribosomal RNA". It matches the Rfam family "Bacterial small subunit ribosomal RNA", at positions 524 to 776 of the family's 1533-position model. The record is from RNAcentral.
UACGGAGGGUGCAAGCGUUAUCCGGAAUCACUGGGCGUAAAGCGUGCGUAGGCGGAUGUUUAAGUGCAAUGCGAAAUCCUGUGGCUCAACCAUAUGGACUGUAUUGCAUACUGGAUAUCUGGAGGAAUGCAGAGGCAAGUGGAAUUACCGGUGUAGCAGUGAAAUGCGUAGAGAUCGGUAGGAACACCAAUGGCGAAGGCAGCUUGCUGGGCAUUUUCUGACGCUAAGGCACGAAAGCGUGGGGAGCGAACAGG